GAAAUCUCAUCUUAAUAUUAGCACGCCCGAGUUCAUUGACAGAACUGCACGCAAUCCUCUUGGAAUAUUAGUUUGUUCUAACGUGGCCACGUCGUCCGGAUUGAUGAAAUCUGACGGUUCUUACGGCACUAAUCGGCGGUUCUGAUCUUUCCAGGGUUUGUACUUUGACAACCGAGAGGACAGUUAGGUCGAGUCAACGGGCAAAUGA
This is a non-coding RNA of Cinara cedri, 208 nucleotides long. The record is from the annotation of a GenBank genome assembly. Lineage: Eukaryota; Metazoa; Arthropoda; Insecta; Hemiptera; Aphididae.